This 253-nucleotide ribosomal RNA is filed under the name uncultured bacterium. RNAcentral describes it as "partial 16S ribosomal RNA". It matches the Rfam family "Bacterial small subunit ribosomal RNA", at positions 524 to 776 of the family's 1533-position model. The record is from RNAcentral.
UACGUAGGGGGCAAGCGUUGUCCGGAUUUAUUGGGCGUAAAGAGCGUGUAGGCGGCUAGAUAGGUCCGUUGUGAAAACUCGAGGCUCAACCUCGAGACGCCGGUGGAAACCAUCUAGCUAGAGUCCGGAAGAGGAGACUGGAAUUCCUGGUGUAGCGGUGAAAUGCGCAGAUAUCAGGAGGAACACCGAUGGCGAAGGCAGGUCUCUGGGCAUUAACUGACGCUGAGGAGCGAAAGCAUGGGGAGCGAACAGG